Molecule: ribosomal RNA, 253 nt
Filed under: uncultured bacterium
Lineage: Bacteria
Description: partial 16S ribosomal RNA
Rfam family: Bacterial small subunit ribosomal RNA
Source: RNAcentral
UACGUAGGGGGCUAGCGUUGUCCGGAAUCAUUGGGCGUAAAGAGCGUGUAGGCGGCUAGAUAGGUCCGUUGUGAAAACUCGAGGCUCAACCUCGAGACGUCGAUGGAAACCAUCUGGCUAGAGUCCGGAAGAGGAGAGUGGAAUUCCUGGUGUAGCGGUGAAAUGCGCAGAUAUCAGGAAGAACACCCGUGGCGAAGGCGGCUCUCUGGUACGUGACUGACGCUGGGACGCGAAAGCGUGGGGAGCAAACAGG